RNAcentral lists this ribosomal RNA (421 nucleotides) under uncultured soil bacterium. RNAcentral's name for it is "bacterial SSU rRNA". It matches the Rfam family "Bacterial small subunit ribosomal RNA", at positions 94 to 559 of the family's 1533-position model. The record is from RNAcentral.
AGUGGCGAAAGGGUGCGUAACACGUAGCUAUCUACCUCGAAGUGGGGGAUAUCUCCGAGAAAUCGGAGUUAAUACCGCAUGUGCGUGAGCAAAGUUGCGCUUCGAGAUGAGGCUGCGGCCUAUCAGUUAGUUGGCGGGGUAAUGGCCCACCAAGACGAAGACGGGUAGCUGGUCUGAGAGGGCGACCAGCCACACUGGAACUGAGACACGGUCCAGACACCUACGGGUGGCAGCAGUCGAGGAUUUUUCUCAAUGGGGGAAACCCUGAAGGAGCGACGCCGCGUGGGGGAUGAAGGUCUUCGGAUUGUAAACCCCUGUCAUCCGGGAACAAUGAUAGUACCGGAAGAGGAAGCCGUGGCUAACUCUGUGCCAGCAGCCGCGGUAAUACAGAGACGGCAAGCGUUGUUCGGAUUCAUUGGGC